UGCAAGUUCACAGACACCAUUCCGGUAGGAUCAAUGCCAAUAAGGAAAGGAUUUAGAGAUUUGAAGUUGCAGUUGCAAGCAACGACUAAAAUGACCUUGCAGAACAGAAUGGCGUUGGACAUGUUACUAAUUAAAGAACAUGGUGUUUGUGAAUAUUUGAAAGACAGACUAGACCAUUGUUGUAUUCAUAUUCCUAACGUAACUGCGAACAUAGAAUACGAUAUUUCCCAGUUGACCAAAGUAGAACAAGAAGUGGAAA
This is a long non-coding RNA of Pezoporus occidentalis (night parrot), 259 nucleotides long. RefSeq lists it as uncharacterized. Lineage: Eukaryota; Metazoa; Chordata; Aves; Psittaciformes; Psittacidae. The record is from RefSeq and is a predicted model, not a curated record. The transcript has 2 exons.